AAGUUGCAAAGUCUGGUGCAAAGAAGAGAAACAGACAUGCUUAAAGGAAGUGAACUGAUAAGAGAUUUAAAUUGCAUGCUACAUUUUCAUGGAUCUUGUUGUUUUCCCCCGUUUUGUAGUUUUUGUGUUCUAGAACUUGAUUCUAGUUUUUUGGAGUUCAGUUUGGUACAUUAUUUAUUCUAUUUUCAAUACAAGACUAAAAUGCCAUGUUAUUAUACUGUCUUUAAAUUGUGUCUUUCCAUUUUUAUUAUAUCUCAGAUUUAAACUUUCCAAAUGGACCGCAUAAUUUCCUCUUUUACAAUUUAAG
Molecule: long non-coding RNA, 307 nt
Filed under: Trifolium pratense (red clover)
Lineage: Eukaryota; Viridiplantae; Streptophyta; Magnoliopsida; Fabales; Fabaceae
Description: long non-coding RNA (TPRA_LNC008577)
Source: RNAcentral